UUGAGCCGGAUGAUGCGAGGAGUGUCAAGUCCGGUUCUUAGGGGAGGGAGAUACGGUGACGUAUGCUCUGUUACCCGCCACUUUCACGUAUGGUAUGACAGGAGAGGUGCCCCGGGUAAUACAGUGCAUCGACUCUAC
RNAcentral lists this non-coding RNA (138 nucleotides) under Moorena producens 3L. Lineage: Bacteria; Bacillati; Cyanobacteriota; Cyanophyceae; Coleofasciculales; Coleofasciculaceae. The record is from RNAcentral.